RNAcentral lists this ribosomal RNA (758 nucleotides) under uncultured eukaryote. RNAcentral describes it as "SSU rRNA". It matches the Rfam family "Eukaryotic small subunit ribosomal RNA", at positions 805 to 1590 of the family's 1831-position model. The record is from RNAcentral.
UAGCAUGGAAUAAUAAAAUAGGACUUUGGCUCUAUUUUGUUGGUUAGGAACCAAAGUAAUGAUUAAUAGGGAUAGUUGGGGGCAUUAGUACUCAAUAGUCAGAGGUGAAAUUCUUGGAUCUAUUGAAGACUAACUACUGCGAAAGCAUUUGCCAAGGAUGUUUUCAUUGAUAAGGAACGAAAGUUAGGGGAUCGAAGACGAUCAGAUACCGUCGUAGUCUUAACUAUAAACUAUGCCGACUAGGGAUCGGACGAUGUUAUUUCUUGACGCGUUCGGCACCUUUCGAGAAAUCAAAGUGCUUGGGCUCCAGGGGGAGUAUGGUCGCAAGGCUGAAACUUAAAGAAAUUGACGGAAGGGCACCACCAGGGGUGGAACCUGCGGCUUAAUUUGACUCAACACGGGGAAACUCACCAGGUCCAGACACAGUGAGGAUUGACAGAUUGAGAGCUCUUUCUUGAUUCUGUGGGUGGUGGUGCAUGGCCGUUCUUAGUUGGUGGAGUGAUUUGUCUGCUUAAUUGCGAUAACGAACGGGACCUUAACCUGCUAAAUAGCCCGUACUGCUUUGGCAGUUCGCUGGCUUCUUAGAGGGACUAUCGGCUCAAGCCGAUGGAAGUUUGAGGCAAUAACAGGUCUGUGAUGCCCUUAGAUGUCCUGGGCCGCACGCGCGUUACACUGACAGGGCCAGCGAGUACCUCCUUGGCCGAAAGGCCCGGGUAAUCUUGCUAAACCCUGUCGUGCUGGGGAUAGAGCAUUGCAAU